UGAGAUGCAGUGGGCACAUCACUACGGCACAGCCAUACCGUAGGCUUUCAGAAUGUUCUGUUUUGUUGUGGAAUGACGUAGCAUGCCUAAUUUAAUCUUCCCAGCCAGAAGCCGAGACAACUUCCUCGUAUGGUAGUUUUAUUUUGAUCAGUCAGUGUGUCGAUUUCGGUCUGUGCUUUUAGAAUGUUGAGUCGACUCGGUGACCUUACAGGUGGAGACUGAGAAGCGCACAGAUGAACUGCCAUCGUUUACACGAUGAGCUACUACAGUGAUACGCCAAGUGUCGACGAUGAGUUGGAGUCGUUAGGAUGGUACCACUUUGACCUGUCCCGACAUGCCGCUGAAGCUCUCCUCCUAUCCAAUGGGAAAGAUGGCAGCUAUCUCCUCCGAAACAGUCAUGAGGGUCCUGGCAGCUUUGCCCUCUCUGUCAGAGCCAAGGAUUCAGUUAAACAUUUCCAUGUGACACGGAAAAGCAGUGGAUACGCUUUUGGCUUCAAUGAGUUUGCGUCCCUCCAGGACUUUGUCAGCCAUUUUGCCAACCAGCCUCUGCUGGGCAGUGAGACAGGUACCCUCAUUGUCCUUAAAUGCCCAUAUCCAUGGCAUGUAGAAGAACCGUCCAUCUAUGAGUCUGUGCGGGUUCACACCGCCAUGCAGACAGGACGAACAGAGAGCGACCUGGUGGCUAACGCUCCAUCGUUUGGAACAAAGGAGGGCUAUCUGGUAAAGUUAGGAGCAGUCGUAAAGAACUGGAAGCAGAGGUGGUUCACAUUAAACAGAAAUGAGCUCAAAUACUUUAAGAACAAAAUGUUUGAUGAGCCUAUUCGCACCCUGGAUCUGACAGCAUGCUCUGCAGUGCAGUUUGACUACUCCAAGGACAGAGUCAACUGCUUCUGAGGAAUAUAAAAUAUGGAUCAUGGUGGCCGAUGGCAGUGGCAGAUAAGAGGAAGUGCAACCAGAGUGAUGACAGGAGAAGUUCUAACCUCCACUCAUCUACUUUAUUUUGUUGCUGGAUCUCUUUCUGUAGCUGUUGAUAUUAAACCUAGCAUUAAUACUCAUUCGGUCUCUUAUUUAGUUUGGUGUUCCCUGAGAGGACAUUUUAUCUGUGUGCCAAGAGUGGUGUGGAGGCAGAUGAGUGGAUCAAGAUAAUACGAUGGAAACUGUCACACAUAAGAAAAGAAAGAUGACAACAUGAAGAGGAGGAGCCAAAAGAGGCAUAUUCUCACAGUGAACUAAAUUACCUUAAGUCUGGUAACUUGUCACUCAUGUUAUCCUCAGAGAUCCUUUCUGCUCCACAGAUGACUGGCUGGUAUCCCAAGACAAAAGACAAUGGGGCUCUUUGACCAUCGAAAAAUGACCAUGUCAUUUUCAGGACAUGCACAAUGUUUUGGAUCUAAUUGUAUUUUUUUUGCGAUAGACUUGAGUUCCUCCAAGAAUUGUAUUUUCUCUAGAUUGAUAUCUUUCACUGGUUGACAUUCACGUGAUCUUAAUUUUACUUAACAAGAUGUAACAGUCAUACUGUGAAUAAAUAUUUAUUUUAAUAGAGAAAUGAGCAACA
This is an RNA transcript of Oncorhynchus keta (chum salmon), 1555 nucleotides long. It is a transcript of the gene named dual adaptor of phosphotyrosine and 3-phosphoinositides, with no coding region annotated. Lineage: Eukaryota; Metazoa; Chordata; Actinopteri; Salmoniformes; Salmonidae. The transcript is spliced from 9 exons. The record is from RefSeq and is a predicted model, not a curated record.